This 386-nucleotide ribosomal RNA is filed under the name uncultured bacterium. Its description in RNAcentral is "bacterial SSU rRNA". It matches the Rfam family "Bacterial small subunit ribosomal RNA", at positions 29 to 416 of the family's 1533-position model. The record is from RNAcentral.
AUUGAACGCUGGCGGCAUGCCUUACACAUGCAAGUCGAACGGUAACGCGGGGCAACCUGGCGACGAGUGGCGAACGGGUGAGUAAUGCAUCAGAACGUGCCCAGUAGUGGGGGAUAGCCCGGCGAAAGCCGGAUUAAUACCGCAUACGACCUACGGGUGAAAGCGGGGGACUCGCAAGAGCCUCGCGCUAUUGGAGCGGCCGAUGUCAGAUUAGGUAGUUGGUGGGGUAAAAGCCUACCAAGCCGACGAUCUGUAGCUGGUCUGAGAGGACGACCAGCCACACUGGGACUGAGACACGGCCCAGACUCCUACGGGAGGCAGCAGUGGGGAAUUUUGGACAAUGGGCGCAAGCCUGAUCCAGCCAUGCCGCGUGCGGGAAGAAGGCC